This 812-nucleotide ribosomal RNA is filed under the name uncultured bacterium. RNAcentral's name for it is "bacterial SSU rRNA". It matches the Rfam family "Bacterial small subunit ribosomal RNA", at positions 616 to 1429 of the family's 1533-position model. The record is from RNAcentral.
GGGAACUGCGUUNUGAACUGGGUGACUAGAGUGUGUCAGAGGGAGGUAGAAUNCCACGUGUAGCAGUGAAAUGCGUAGAGAUGUGGAGGAAUACCGAUGGCGAAGGCAGCCUCCUGGGAUAACACUGACGUUCAUGCCCGAAAGCGUGGGUAGCAANCAGGAUUAGAUACCCUGGUAGUCCACGCCCUAAACGAUGUCGAUUAGCUGUUGGGCAGCAUGACUGCUUAGUAGCGAAGCUAACGCGUGAAAUCGACCGCCUGGGGAGUACGGUCGCAAGAUUAAAACUCAAAGGAAUUGACGGGGACCCGCACAAGCGGUGGAUGAUGUGGAUUAAUUCGAUGCAACGCGAAGAACCUUACCUGGUCUUGACAUGUACGGAACCCUCCAGAGACGGAGGGGUGCCUUCGGGAGCCGUAACACAGGUGCUGCAUGGCUGUCGUCAGCUCGUGUCGUGAGAUGUUGGGUUAAGUCCCGCAACGAGCGCAACCCUUGUCAUUAGUUGCCAUCAUUAAGUUGGGCACUCUAAUGAGACUGCCGGUGACAAGCCGGAGGAAGGUGGGGAUGACGUCAAGUCCUCAUGGCCCUUAUGACCAGGGCUUCACACGUCAUACAAUGGUCGGUACAGAGGGUAGCCAAGCCGCGAGGUGGAGCCAAUCUCACAAAACCGAUCGUAGUCCGGAUUGCACUCUGCAACUCGAGUGCAUGAAGUCGGAAUCGCUAGUAAUCGCAGGUCAGCAUACUGCGGUGAAUACGUUCCCGGGUCUUGUACACACCGCCCGUCACACCAUGGGAGUGGGGGAUACCAGAAGUAG